AUGAAUGAGAGCAACAGUGGAUAUGUGUGGCAGUUUAUGACAAGGAUUCUCUGUGUUUGCAGGUGUCCAGUGACAGGUACAGAUGGUAAAGUCUGGGGACGCUUGGUGCAGUCUGAGGGCAUCCUGAAACUCUUCUAUGCAGCCUCUGGAUUCGCCUUCAAUAAUUACAGAAAUUACUGGGUCCUCCAGGCUCCUGGGAAUGGGCUCAAGUGGGUUGGACUAACAGGCACUGUUGGUGGUAACACAUACUAUGCAGAGUCUGUCAAGGACAGAUUCAUCAUCUCCAGAGACAAUCCCAAAAACCAGCUCUAUUUGCAAAUGAAUAGCCUGAGAGAUGUGUACACAGCCCUUUAUUACUGUGCAGGAGACCUAGUGAAGGGAGUUCAGUUUGAGCACCAACAUAAACCUCCCUGCAGUGGUGCUGAGAACCAGCAGAUGGUGUGA
This is a non-coding RNA of Castor canadensis (American beaver), 444 nucleotides long. The record is from the annotation of a RefSeq genome assembly. NCBI's taxonomy places the organism in Eukaryota, Metazoa, Chordata, Mammalia, Rodentia, Castoridae.